UUUUAUGAGAGUUUGAUCCUGGCUCAGGACGAACGCUGGCGGCGUGCCUAAUACAUGCAAGUCGAACGCUUCUUUUUCCACCGGAGCUUGCUCCACCGGAAAAAGAGGAGUGGCGAACGGGUGAGUAACACGUGGGUAACCUGCCCAUCAGAAGGGGAUAACACUUGGAAACAGGUGCUAAUACCGUAUAACAAUCGAAACCGCAUGGUUUUGAUUUGAAAGGCGCUUUCGGGUGUCGCUGAUGGAUGGACCCGCGGUGCAUUAGCUAGUUGGUGAGGUAACGGCUCACCAAGGCCACGAUGCAUAGCCG
This 310-nucleotide ribosomal RNA is filed under the name Enterococcus faecium. RNAcentral describes it as "bacterial SSU rRNA". It matches the Rfam family "Bacterial small subunit ribosomal RNA", at positions 1 to 289 of the family's 1533-position model. Lineage: Bacteria; Bacillati; Bacillota; Bacilli; Lactobacillales; Enterococcaceae. The record is from RNAcentral.